GAUGAACGCUGGCGGCGUGCCUAAUACAUGCAAGUCGAGCGAACAGACGCGGAGCUUUCUCCUCUGACGUUAGCGGCGGACGGGUGAGUAACACGUGGAUAACCUACCUAUAAGACUGGGAUAACUUCGGGAAACCGGAGCUAAUACCGGAUAAUAUAUUGAACCGCAUGGUUCAAUAGUGAAAGACGGUUUUGCUGUCACUUAUAGAUGGAUCCGCGCCGCAUUAGCUAGUUGGUAAGGUAACGGCUUACCAAGGCGACGAUGCGUAGCCGACCUGAGAGGGUGGUCGGCCACACUGGAACUGAGACACGGUCCAGACUCCUACGGGAGGCAGCAGUAGGGAAUCUUCCGCAAUGGGCGAAAGCCUGACGGAGCAACGCCGCGUGAGUGAUGAAGGUCUUCGGAUCGUAAAACUCUGUUAUUAGGGAAGAACAAAUGUGUAAGUAACUAUGCACGUCUUGACGGUACCUAAUCAGAAAGCCACGGCUAACUACGUG
This 497-nucleotide ribosomal RNA is filed under the name uncultured bacterium. Its description in RNAcentral is "partial 16S ribosomal RNA". It matches the Rfam family "Bacterial small subunit ribosomal RNA", at positions 28 to 507 of the family's 1533-position model. The record is from RNAcentral.